UACGUAGGGGGCGAGCGUUGUCCGGAUUUAUUGGGCGUCAAGAGCUCGUAGGUGGCUUGUCGCGUCUGCCGUGAAAGCCCAUGGCUUAACUGUGGGUCUGCGGUGGAUACGGGCAGGCUGGAGGCUGGUAGGGGCAAGCGGAAUUCCUGGUGUAGCGGUGAAAUGCGCAGAUAUCAGGAGGAACACCGGUGGCGAAGGCGGCUUGCUGGGCCAGUUCUGACGCUGAGGAGCGAAAGCGUGGGGAGCGAACAGG
This 253-nucleotide ribosomal RNA is filed under the name uncultured bacterium. RNAcentral's name for it is "partial 16S ribosomal RNA". It matches the Rfam family "Bacterial small subunit ribosomal RNA", at positions 524 to 776 of the family's 1533-position model. The record is from RNAcentral.